Molecule: long non-coding RNA, 964 nt
Organism: Athalia rosae (coleseed sawfly)
Lineage: Eukaryota; Metazoa; Arthropoda; Insecta; Hymenoptera; Athaliidae
Exons: 2
Source: RefSeq, a predicted model, not a curated record
CUGAAUCUAUAUAAUAAUUGAAUCAUACGGUUGAAUAAAAUUCUCAGUUAUCGGAUUCAAUAGAAUUAAAAAACGAAUUCUUAUACAAUGUACAAGACAUGAAAUAACGCGUAAGCGUAUAGAAAUCCUCACCGAUGACACAACGUUUCAAUUGCAUGCACAAUAAUACCGGCUAAAUAAAAACGCGGAUAGUUUUAUAUACAAUACAUAAGUAUACACAGGUAUUUAUUUAUACAAGUGUAACGUAAGGAGUAUUAUUAGAAAUUUAGUGGGCGGUCAACCAAACUGAUAUUCUCAAUAAAUAGAGACGUAUCGAAAUCGUUCGCGGUCGCAACAAGUGAACUGAAGAGUACGCAUCCUCCAUUCGUUGUAUAAACUCGGGUAUUUUGCAACGUCUCACAACAAGCCUAAAGAGACGAGGCGGAUGGUUACGAUGUCCCGUCGCAUAAUAUACUCGUCUCUAUGCACAUAGCAGAUGAAGCAGAUUCUUCAAAUAAUUCACGCUCAACAAAUUGAAAAAGAAAUUUCGAAAAAGAAAUAAUGAAGAAAAUUUCAAUAGAUGCUUAAAAGAAUAAGGACAUGAUUACCGUACACCAGAUUGUUGUAAUUUUUACGACUAGGAUUUGGAGAAAGAAUAAAAAAGGCGGGUGAAACGGCGCCACGUGGUCAGCAGAUGUCAGGUACAUACAUGCAUACGUAUUAUGUAUGAUAAAAUAAGCUGUCUAAUAAUAAUAAUAAUUACGUGCGCGUGAUAACCCACAUACGAUCUGAUUAUGAGAUAAUUUUUGCCCCGAUUUCCGCGGUUACACGCUGAACGAGAAUCGUCGUGAAACAUUAACAAUUUGUUUCUCAGGGGAUUCUCUGCGAUUGAUACGUGGAUAACAUCGUCAAGGAAUCCCGAUUGUCGUUGCUGCAUAUCGAGGCGAAAUAAAAAAAAAAAGAGAGAGAGAGAGAGAGAGAGAGA